GUUUGACCUCGGAUCAGGUAGGAAUACCCGCUGAACUUAAGCAUAUCAAUAAGCGGAGGAAAAGAAACCAACAGGGAUUGCCCUAGUAACGGCGAGUGAAGCGGCAACAGCUCAAAUUUGAAAUCUGGCCUUCGGGUCCGAGUUGUAAUUUGUAGAGGAUGCUUUUGGUGAGGUGCCUUCCGAGUUCCCUGGAACGGGACGCCAUAGAGGGUGAGAGCCCCGUCUGGUUGGACACCGAUCCUCUGUAAAGCUCCUUCGACGAGUCGAGUAGUUUGGGAAUGCUGCUCUAAAUGGGAGGUAUAUGUCUUCUAAAGCUAAAUAUUGGCCAGAGACCGAUAGCGCACAAGUAGAGUGAUCGAAA
Molecule: ribosomal RNA, 361 nt
Filed under: Dactylonectria macrodidyma
Lineage: Eukaryota; Fungi; Ascomycota; Sordariomycetes; Hypocreales; Nectriaceae
Also listed under: 1 other name
Description: eukaryotic LSU rRNA
Rfam family: Eukaryotic large subunit ribosomal RNA
Source: RNAcentral